RNAcentral lists this ribosomal RNA (480 nucleotides) under uncultured bacterium. RNAcentral's name for it is "bacterial SSU rRNA". It matches the Rfam family "Bacterial small subunit ribosomal RNA", at positions 37 to 507 of the family's 1533-position model. The record is from RNAcentral.
UGGCGGCAAGCCUUACACAUGCAAGUCGAGCGGUAGCAUUUCUAGCUUGCUAGAAGAUGACGAGCGGCGGACGGGUGAGUAAUGCAUAGGAAUCUGGCCAAUAGAGGGGGAUAGCCCGGAGAAAUCCGGAUUAAUACCGCAUACACUCUAUGGAGAAAAAGCAGGGGAUCUUCGGACCUUGUGCUAUUGGAUGAGCCUAUGUCGGAUUAGUUAGUUGGUGGGGUAAAGGCCUACCAAGGCAGCGAGCCGUAGCUGGUCUUAGAGGAUGAUCAGCCACAUCGGGACUGAGACACGGCCCGAACUCCUACGGGAGGCAGCAGUGGGGAAUAUUGCGCAAUGGGCGCAAGCCUGAUGCAGCUAUGCCGCGUGUGUGAAGAAGGCCUUAGGGUUGUAAAGCACUUUCAGUAGUGAGGAAAAGUGUUGUGUUAAUAGCGCAAUGCUGUAACGUUAGCUACAGAAGAAGGACCGGCAAACUCCGUG